GUUGAAGAUCAAGAAGUCCAUAUUGGCCGGUAAAGAAACUAUCCUAUUCUCUUCAGAAUGAUGAUGUACGGAAAGGAACUUUCCCGCUGCAGUUAAAGCAGCCCACAUACAGAACGAUAACGCUAGAAGCAGCUCUACUAUCACAUUCACUGGAGGUCCUGAAAACUCCUCCUCCAAAAUCUUCAACAAACCUCUAUACUGAAUGGUUGAAAAAGCUGCAUGAGCGAGAAUCAGGACUCCAAAUGCGCCAAUUAAAAUUAAAAAGCCUAAACCCAUUUUAUUAACUUCACUGAAUCUCCGAUCACCGGCCAACCUGAGUUCCGGGAUCGGGCACUAUCUAUAGCUGUUAGGGGCUGAAGUCUCAAGAAG
RNAcentral lists this unclassified non-coding RNA (369 nucleotides) under Hevea brasiliensis (rubber tree). Lineage: Eukaryota; Viridiplantae; Streptophyta; Magnoliopsida; Malpighiales; Euphorbiaceae. The record is from RNAcentral.